AGUGAACGCUGGCGGUAGGCCUAACACAUGCAAGUCGAACGGCAGCACAGUAAGAGCUUGCUCUUACGGGUGGCGAGUGGCGGACGGGUGAGGAAUACAUCGGAAUCUACUUUUUCGCGGGGGAUAACGUAGGGAAACUUACGCUAAUACCGCAUACGACCUACGGGUGAAAGCAGGGGAUCUUCGGACCUUGCGCGAUUGAAUGAGCCGAUGUCGGAUUAGCUAGUUGGCGGGGUAAAGGCCCACCAAGGCGACGAUCCGUAGCUGGUCUGAGAGGAUGAUCAGCCACACUGGAACUGAGACACGGUCCAGACUCCUACGGGAGGCAGCAGUGGGGAAUAUUGGACAAUGGGCGCAAGCCUGAUCCAGCCAUACCGCGUGGGUGAAGAAGGCCUUCGGGUUGUAAAGCCCUUUUGUUGGGAAAGAAAAGCAGCAGGUUAAUACCCCGCUGUUCUGACGGUACCCAAAGAAUAAGCACCGACUAACUUCGUG
Molecule: ribosomal RNA, 492 nt
Filed under: uncultured bacterium
Lineage: Bacteria
Description: partial 16S ribosomal RNA
Rfam family: Bacterial small subunit ribosomal RNA
Source: RNAcentral